Molecule: ribosomal RNA, 253 nt
Filed under: uncultured bacterium
Lineage: Bacteria
Description: partial 16S ribosomal RNA
Rfam family: Bacterial small subunit ribosomal RNA
Source: RNAcentral
UACGGAGGGGGCAAGCGUUGUUCGGAAUUACUGGGCGUAAAGGGCUUGUAGGUGGCCAACUAAGUCAGACGUGAAAUCCCUCGGCUUAACCGGGGAACUGCGUCUGAUACUGGAUGGCUGGAGUGUGGGAGAGGGAUGCGGAAUUCCAGGUGUAGCGGUGAAAUGCGUAGAUAUCUGGAGGAACACCGGUGGCGAAGGCGGCAUCCUGGACCAUUACUGACACUGAAAAGCGAAAGCCAGGGGAGCAAACGGG